AGGAGCGCCUUCCAUUCCCUCCACGUUUUUCCCUUCCCUCUAUUUUUUCCCUUCGCUGAUUUAUAUACAUUUAACUAUUUAAGCCCUAAACUAUGUCGUUUUUUGGGGCCAAUUAACACUGUAAAGUACUUUGCCAUUUUAUUUAGCCCUAAUGCUCUCUCUCCUUCCAUCACAACUCUCUCUCUUUCCAACACCCGUAUCGCCCAUCACCGGUCUCGCCCUUCCAUCACCAGUUCUCACAGCUUUCAAAAAACCCCUUCUCUCUCUAUUGUCUCUCCUUUUUAAAACGCCUUCUCUUUCUGUUUCCCUUCGCUGUCUUUUCCAUCCAAAAUCAGGAGAGGAAAGAGAAAGAGUAAGAGAGAGAAAGCAAUUUCAGUCCCCAUAAAACUACUCUAACUUUCACUCUCUUCUUGUGUGGAAAGUAAUCAAGUUCGCGAAGCAGAAAUUAAAGAGACUGCAUUAUUUUUAAGGAGGAAAUAAUCGAUCGUAGCUUGGAUUAUUGGAACAAGUUUUGUCGUUGAUUAGUCUGAUUUCGUUUUUAGGAAGGAUAAAUAAUAAGUUGACAAUGAAACGAACGGUUAGUGAAGUGGAAAAAGUGAGUGAAGAAAAUACCAAAGCUUCAACUUCAAAAUCAUCCAAACCACCGCCGAAGAAUAAACGGGGCCCGACCCGAUGCAAGAAUGUCGUAAACGCGACUAACCUUAAUACCAUUAAGGGUUAAUAAGUAUGGAUAACCAAUCGGCCUUGAAAGGGGUACAUAUACUAAUUAUUUGGGACCACUUGUCCGGAAUGGUAGAUUAGCUCCUUUGUGCUACAAAACUUGGUGGGAGAUGCAUAAACGGCUUAAAGAGGAUAUGUGGAACAUUGUAAAGGGAAAAUAUAAUGCGGGAAUCAUGUUAAAACAAUGGACAUUAUCCUCCAUCGGAAAAAAUAGAGGGGGUACAAGUGUGAAUUAAAAAGUGAAUACUACUCGGUUAGGUAUACAGAUGCAGAAAGAUUGGCAAACCCACUAUCUGAUGUUGAAAAGGAGCAUUGGGAAUUUUUGGUUAGGCAUUGGGAUAUGCCUAUGGCGAAGGAGGUCAGUGAAAAAAACAAAGAACAUCGUGGGAAGCAGACAAUGAUGCAUACUACAGGGACAAAAAGCUUUGCAUGUGUUUCUGCCGAGAUUUAUUCAUUUGCACAUAUGUAAAUAAGGAUGACAAUGCUAUUGAUGCUGCUGCUUCGGAGAUGAUUAAAACAUAAAAUGUCUUCAAAAAAGUUACUCUGACUCGUCUAUUGGCAGUUCUAAUGAUUUGUUCUCCGUUGUGAGGGGAGAAGAGAGAACCGGUCGUGUGCAGAUGCUUGGCUUGGGGCCUACACCAAGCGAUGUUUGGGGCCCUCUCCUAGUAAAGCUGAACUGAUUAAUAAUGCCAAAAAAUCUGAUGAGGAGGCAAGAGCUGCACGUGUAGAAUUUCAGGAGACCAUUUCAAAAAUGCAAGCCGACUAUGACGACAAGUUGGAAAAUUUACGAGCCAAUUAUGACGAUAAGUUAGAAAAUUUACAACUACAGGUGGCUAUGCUAAUGCAGACGCAACAACAAAAUUGUAGUGGACAGGGUUCUGAUUCUUUAAAUGCUCCUAGAGUAUCCCCAAAUUCAUUUUCUAGUCCCGAUGCCAAUUCAGUUAAGGGUAAUUCAAAUCAAAUGGGCAAGAAGAGUUGUUAAAGUUGAAGUUGAAGCUGAAGAUGGGGUUGUGGCUGUGCUUUCUGCAUUUCCUUCGCCUUGGAUGGGUUCUUUUUGAAAAACUUGUACUACAUUUGUCAAAAAUUCUUAAUUCUUUUUGUGUCACAUUUAGUAGAUUUAGACAAUUUGGAUGGUAUUUUCAUACUGGCAGGUUAACUUGUGGUUGUAUUAGUAGACAUUUUUUGAGUUUUGGUUGACA
Long non-coding RNA from Cornus florida, 1919 nucleotides. RefSeq lists it as uncharacterized. The record is from RefSeq and is a predicted model, not a curated record. The transcript is spliced from 10 exons. Lineage: Eukaryota; Viridiplantae; Streptophyta; Magnoliopsida; Cornales; Cornaceae.